Molecule: ribosomal RNA, 406 nt
Filed under: uncultured bacterium
Lineage: Bacteria
Description: bacterial SSU rRNA
Rfam family: Bacterial small subunit ribosomal RNA
Source: RNAcentral
UGGGGGAUAUUGCACAAUGGGGGGAACCCUGAUGCAGCGACGCCGCGUGGACGAAGAAGUAUUUCGGUAUGUAAAGUCCUAUCAGCAGGGAAGAAGAAAUGACGGUACCUGACUAAGAAGCCCCGGCUAACUACGUGCCAGCAGCCGCGGUAAUACGUAGGGGGCAAGCGUUAUCCGGAUUUACUGGGUGUAAAGGGAGCGCAGGCGGCAGCGCAAGUCUGAUGUGAAAGCCCGGGGCCCAACCGCGGGACUGCAUUGGAAACUGCGCAGCUGGAGUGCCGGAGGGGUAAGCGGAAUUCCUAGUGUAGCGGUGAAAUGCGUAGAUAUUAGGAGGAACACCAGUGGCGAAGGCGGCUUACUGGACGGCAACUGACGCUGAGGCUCGAAAGCGUGGGGAGCAAACAGG